Molecule: ribosomal RNA, 253 nt
Filed under: uncultured bacterium
Lineage: Bacteria
Description: partial 16S ribosomal RNA
Rfam family: Bacterial small subunit ribosomal RNA
Source: RNAcentral
UACGGAGGGUGCGAGCGUUAAUCGGAAUUACUGGGCGUAAAGCGCACGCAGGCGGUUUGUUAAGCUAGAUGUGAAAGCCCCGGGCUCAACCUGGGAUGGUCAUUUAGAACUGGCAGACUCGAGUCUUGGAGGGGGGGGUGGAAUUCCAGGUGUAGCGGNGAAAUGCGUAGAUAUCUGGAGGAACAUCAGUGGCGAAGGCGACUCCCUGGCCAAAGACUGACGCUCAUGUGCGAAAGUGUGGGUAGCGAACAGG